ACACUCUCGCCAGCCCCCUUACCUCGGUCUUCCCGGGCUCAGACCCCGGCGGCGACCACCGAGACAGCCGAGCAGGGACUCAGCGCCUGCGCACUCCCCUCCGGGACCCCGGGACCGCGCGCUGCACCCCCCUUCACACACGCACCACGCAUGCGGGCGCGUGGCCCCGCCCCCAAACAAGGCCACGCGGCGUGCGCUCACCCGCCUCUCGGGGACAGUACCACCAGCCCCGGCCUGAGGCCCCGACCCCUCAGCGCCACACGCACAAGCGCGUUCGCACGAUUGGUGCAGGCGGACGCGCGAGGUCCCGCGCCUGCGCACACCCCCGAGGCUGGCACGCACACCGGUCUCCUAGGGGACUGGCGCCUGGCCCUGCUUUUCAUCCUCUCAGGAGAUCACGUGUGGACACUGAGGCCCUUCCUCGAGCUCUUUAACCAAACCCAACCUCCCCAAUUCGCCGCCUUCCCCGCUCCCACAACCACACGUUCCCGUGUGAGGGCUUAUUGCCUCCAGCCAGCCAGCGUCCUUCGCCCCCACAUUCACGAGGUUUGGAGCCGGCCUCACCCGCGGAGGCGGACACCGCCCACCCGCGCGUGCGCACUACGCAGUCAUCCUGCGACCUCCAGAAUCCACCGGGGUGCAGCGAGGCUGUGGAAAGUCCCACCCAGAACGUGAGGUGAAGAAGGCUUGGGCUGCGCUGGUUCUGCUCUGUCCGGGUCGGAGAUGAACUGACCCGGGAGAGCAGCGGAGGGAUGUUUCUUUUGGCCAACAGUGGGGACUCACCUGCACGUUUUGCGAAGAGGCCCACAGUCCUUUGCGUGGCGCUCGGACUACAUUUCCCAACGGCCCCUGCACGCCCUGGGGGCUGUUCCAUGCGGUGUUGCGCCUGCGUAGCCGGCGGGCUGGCAGUGAGACUGACUGCGUCGGGGUUGAGACUGGGUGGAUGAGGCUCACCCCGGCGGGGAGAAGGGACGAGGAGGGGCGGACAGCGGAAGGUCCGGGAGUGUCCGCCAUAAAGUCGUUUGAGGUGACCGUUGCGUAAUUGUGAGUCUGUGAGAGAAGAUGUGAAGUAUGGCCUCGUCCCGGUCAUCUGGGCGUGCGGGUCCCGGGUUUUGAUCGCGCGUUUGUGUAGGUGAGACCCACAUUGUGUUACCCUGAACAUGUGUGAGGACGAACCUUUGUGUUUUCUUAUACGUGUGUCUCUGAGGCGAUUUUUGUGGUUUUGUACGUGGCGGGGGGCACUGAUUUUGAAUAUGUGUGUAUGUUCUGGACAUUUGUUUAGCUUCUGCAUCCACUUCUGCGGAAGGGCAGAGUUGAGUAGGUGGGAACAGGUACUGUGUGGCCCCACAAAGCCUGAACUAUUUACUGUUGACUCUAGAGCCCAGUUUUUGCGGUGUGUACGUCUCUGUGGGGAACCACACAUUUUGAAUAUGUAUAC
Homo sapiens (human) is the source of this 1438-nucleotide long non-coding RNA. Ensembl annotates it as ZNF667 antisense RNA 1 (head to head). Its record names the gene ZNF667-AS1. The record is from Ensembl. Lineage: Eukaryota; Metazoa; Chordata; Mammalia; Primates; Hominidae.